UAUGGAAUUGUGUGCCCGCCGCCGCUGUCAUACGUCUGGAGCAAGCGUUAUCCGGAUUUCCUGGGUGUCAAGGGAUUUUCUGUGGCCAAGCAAGUCAGAAGUGAAAGCCCGGGGCUCCACCCCGGGACUGCUUUUGAAACUGCAGGGCUAGAGUGCAGGAGGGGCAAGUGGAAUUCCUAGUGUAGCGGUGAAAUGCGUAGAUAUUAGGAGGAACACCAGUGGCGAAGGCGGCUUGCUGGACUGUAACUGACACUGAGGCUCGAAAGCGUGGGGAGCAAACAGG
Molecule: ribosomal RNA, 283 nt
Filed under: [Lactobacillus] rogosae
Lineage: Bacteria; Bacillati; Bacillota; Clostridia; Lachnospirales; Lachnospiraceae
Description: Lactobacillus rogosae partial 16S ribosomal RNA
Rfam family: Bacterial small subunit ribosomal RNA
Source: RNAcentral